AAGUCGUAACAAGGUUUCCGUAGGUGAACCUGCGGAAGGAUCAUUAACGUAUCUGCCCUCGGGGGUGAGGGCGGCCCUGCUCCGGCACUCGCCGCGCAGCGGGUCACCUCCCCCCGAUCACAACAAACCCACUGUGCACCUUUCGUGGUGGAGGGUGUGGCGCAAGCCCGCCCGAAGCCGCGGUCUCACAGACUCGUCCUGGAAUGUCUUGCGGACUCGUUCCGCCCAUAAACAAAACAACUUUCAACAACGGAUCUCUUGGCUCUC
RNAcentral lists this unclassified non-coding RNA (267 nucleotides) under air metagenome. RNAcentral describes it as "partial contains small subunit ribosomal RNA, internal transcribed spacer 1, and 5.8S ribosomal RNA". The stretch from base 1 to 46 matches the Rfam family "Eukaryotic small subunit ribosomal RNA", at positions 1786 to 1831 of the family's 1831-position model. The record is from RNAcentral.